Molecule: unclassified non-coding RNA, 371 nt
Filed under: uncultured fungus
Lineage: Eukaryota; Fungi
Description: sequence contains ITS1
Rfam family: 5.8S ribosomal RNA (bases 1-105)
Source: RNAcentral
GAACUGCGAUAAGCAAUGCGAAUUGCAGAAUUCCGCGAGUCAUCAGAUCUUUGAACGCAACUGGCGCUGAGGGGCUAUCCUCUCAGCAUGCUUGUUUCAGUGUGUUUGUUUAAAAAAUCACACAGCUAAAUGCAAUUGAAGGGCGGGUUUUCAAGGAUUAACUUUCUUAAAACCAACUUUCUCUUGUUAAAAACGAGAGACGGGCUGGCAGCUGCCUUUAAGCCCAAUGAAGCGGUCACCCUGAAAAGAGUGAACUCAUUGGAAAUUGCUUAAGCAGAUUUGCCUGAAAUAAAUUGCCUUCUCAAAAAAAUUAUAAAUAAAUAAUCUCCAAUCAGCACCUGAGAUCAAGCAAGAUUACCCGCUGAACUUAA